This is a long non-coding RNA of Hippocampus zosterae (dwarf seahorse), 612 nucleotides long. RefSeq lists it as uncharacterized. The record is from RefSeq and is a predicted model, not a curated record. Lineage: Eukaryota; Metazoa; Chordata; Actinopteri; Syngnathiformes; Syngnathidae. The transcript has 2 exons.
UCACUUGCCGUUUUUCGAUCAUCAGAUUUGAAACGACGACGUGAAAGUGAGUUUUUAUUUCCGUGCGUUUUACUGGAAUUGUGAAUGAUUUUAACUUUAUUCACUUACGUCCUAGAGAACGUGGCACGAUCUUAAAAGCAGCACCCACUCGACAUGACCAAAGAAACGUGUUCGCUUCGCCGUUUUCAUUCAUCAGAUUCGAAACGAAGACAUAUCAUCGCAUCGAAACGUAGAAGAACUGUAACGACCGGAGCGGAGCGAGUGAAAUGCAUCCGUUUGAGCGAAGCUGGACACAAAGUUAAAAAGAUCCAGCAGACACUUGGAGUCGGAAAGACGCAAAUUGACGAAACUUUAAAAAACAAGGCAUCGAUUCAACUCAUGAUGACAAGCCACCAUCCAACAAGGAAGCAAUGCAAAUGGCAACAAAAAUCCUUCAGGAUGCACAAGAAUUACCAGACAUUGGUGAUCAACGGGGCAGUUACUUGCAACUAGCAAGAAAACUGUAUGACACGCAGGCAAACAUUGUCAUAAACCAAAGAAUGCAUCCAACAAAACAAUCCAAACUACAAAUUUUUUUCCAAGACAGAAAAAAAUAAACAUUAAAAUAAUGUA